Molecule: ribosomal RNA, 464 nt
Filed under: uncultured bacterium
Lineage: Bacteria
Description: SSU rRNA
Rfam family: Bacterial small subunit ribosomal RNA
Source: RNAcentral
AGGAUGAACGCUGGCGGAGUGCCUAAUACAUGCAAGUCGAGCGGCAGCACGAGUAGUUUACUACUUGGUGGCGAGCGGCGGACGGCUGAGUAACGCGUGGGAACAUGCCCCAAAGUGAGGGAUAAGCUCCAGAAAUGGAGUCUAAUACCGCAUAUGAUCUUCGGAUUAAAGCUUUCGAGCGCUUUGGGAGUGGCCCGCGUCCGAUUAGAUAGUUGGUGAGGUAAAGGCUCACCAAGUCUACGAUCGGUAACUGGUCUGAGAGGAUGAUCAGUCAGACUGGAACUGAGACACGGUCCAGACUCCUACGGGAGGCAGCAGUAAGGAAUCUUCCACAAUGGGGGAAACCCUGAUGGAGCAACUCCGCGUGCAGGACGAAGGCCUUAGGGUCGUAAACUGCUUUUAUGAGUGAAGAAUAUGACGGUAACUCAUGAAUAAGGGUCGGCUAACUACGUGCCAGCACGCGC